This 300-nucleotide ribosomal RNA is filed under the name uncultured bacterium. Its description in RNAcentral is "bacterial SSU rRNA". It matches the Rfam family "Bacterial small subunit ribosomal RNA", at positions 115 to 398 of the family's 1533-position model. The record is from RNAcentral.
GGGUGGGAAACCUGCCUCUCUGCGGGGAGUAACAUUCCUAACGGGUGGCUAAUACCGCAUGGUCCGGUGCAUCGCAUGGUGCAUCGGUAAAGAAUGGCCUCUACAUGUAAGCUGUCACAGAGAGAUGGUCCCGCCUCCCAUUAGCUUGUUGGUGGGGUAAGUGGCCUACCAAGGCGACGAUGGGUAGCCGGCCUGAGAGGGUGUCCGGCCACACUGGGACUGAGAUACGGCCCAGACUCCUACGGGAGGCAGCAGUCGAGAAGCUUCGGCAAUAGGGCGAAAGCCUGACCGAGCGACGCC